GACGAACGCUGGCGGCGUGCCUAAUACAUGCAAGUCGAACGAACUCUGGUAUUGAUUGGUGCUUGCAUCAUGAUUUACAUUUGAGUGAGUGGCGAACUGGUGAGUAACACGUGGGAAACCUGCCCAGAAGCGGGGGAUAACACCUGGAAACAGAUGCUAAUACCGCAUAACAACUUGGACCGCAUGGUCCGAGCUUGAAAGAUGGCUUCGGCUAUCACUUUUGGAUGGUCCCGCGGCGUAUUAGCUAGAUGGUGGGGUAACGGCUCACCAUGGCAAUGAUACGUAGCCGACCUGAGAGGGUAAUCGGCCACAUUGGGACAGAGACACGGCCCAAACUCCUACGGGAGGCAGCAGUAGGGAAUCUUCCACAAUGGACGAAAGUCUGAUGGAGCAACGCCGCGUGAGUGAAGAAGGGUUUCGGCUCGUAAAACUCUGUUGUUAAAGAAGAACAUAUCUGAGAGUAACUGUUCAGGUAUUGACGGUAUUUAACCAGAAAGCCACGGCUAACUACGUGCCAGCAGCCGCGGUAAUACGUAGGUGGCAAGCGUUGUCCGGAUUUAUUGGGCGUAAAGCGAGCGCAGGCGGUUUUUUAAGUCUGAUGUGAAAGCCUUCGGCUCAACCGAAGAAGUGCAUCGGAAACUGGGAAACUUGAGUGCAGAAGAGGACAGUGGAACUCCAUGUGUAGCGGUGAAAUGCGUAGAUAUAUGGAAGAACACCAGUGGCGAAGGCGGCUGUCUGGUCUGUAACUGACGCUGAGGCUCGAAAGUAUGGGUAGCAAACAGGAUUAGAUACCCUGGUAGUCCAUACCGUAAACGAUGAAUGCUAAGUGUUGGAGGGUUUCCGCCCUUCAGUGCUGCAGCUAACGCAUUAAGCAUUCCGCCUGGGGAGUACGGCCGCAAGGCUGAAACUCAAAGGAAUUGACGGGGGCCCGCACAAGCGGUGGAGCAUGUGGUUUAAUUCGAAGCUACGCGAAGAACCUUACCAGGUCUUGACAUACUAUGCAAAUCUAAGAGAUUAGACGUUCCCUUCGGGGACAUGGAUACAGGUGGUGCAUGGUUGUCGUCAGCUCGUGUCGUGAGAUGUUGGGUUAAGUCCCGCAACGAGCGCAACCCUUAUUAUCAGUUGCCAGCAUUAAGUUGGGCACUCUGGUGAGACUGCCGGUGACAAACCGGAGGAAGGUGGGGAUGACGUCAAAUCAUCAUGCCCCUUAUGACCUGGGCUACACACGUGCUACAAUGGAUGGUACAACGAGUUGCGAACUCGCGAGAGUAAGCUAAUCUCUUAAAGCCAUUCUCAGUUCGGAUUGUAGGCUGCAACUCGCCUACAUGAAGUCGGAAUCGCUAGUAAUCGCGGAUCAGCAUGCCGCGGUGAAUACGUUCCCGGGCCUUGUACACACCGCCCGUCACACCAUGAGAGUUUGUAACACCCAAAGUCGGUGGGGUAACCUUUUAGGAACCAGCCGCCUAAGGUGGGACAGAUGAUUAGGGUG
Molecule: ribosomal RNA, 1489 nt
Filed under: Lactiplantibacillus argentoratensis
Lineage: Bacteria; Bacillati; Bacillota; Bacilli; Lactobacillales; Lactobacillaceae
Description: bacterial SSU rRNA
Rfam family: Bacterial small subunit ribosomal RNA
Source: RNAcentral